CGGGGCGUAGCGCAGCCUGGUAGCGUACCUGGAUGGGGUCCAGGGGGUCGAAGGUUCGAAUCCUUCCGUCCCGACCA
This 77-nucleotide transfer RNA is filed under the name Herminiimonas sp. RNAcentral's name for it is "tRNA-Pro". It matches the Rfam family "tRNA". From Rfam's summary of the family: Transfer RNA (tRNA) molecules are approximately 80 nucleotides in length. Their secondary structure includes four short double-helical elements and three loops (D, anti-codon, and T loops). The record is from RNAcentral. Lineage: Bacteria; Pseudomonadati; Pseudomonadota; Betaproteobacteria; Burkholderiales; Oxalobacteraceae.